CCUACGGGAGGCAGCAGUGGGGAAUAUUGCACAAUGGGCGAAAGCCUGAUGCAGCAACGCCGCGUGAGCGAUGAAGGCCUUCGGGUCGUUAAGCUCUGUCUUCAAGGAAGAUAAUGACGGUACUUGAGGAGGAAGCCCCGGCUAACUACGUGCCAGCAGCCGCGGUAAUACGUAGGGGGCUAGCGUUAUCCGGAAUUACUGGGCGUAAAGGGUGCGUAGGUGGUAUCUUAAGUCAGCGGUGAAAGGCUACGGCUCAACCGUAGUAAGCCGUUGAAACUGGGAAACUUGAGUGCGGGAGAGGUACGUGGAAUGCGUGGUGUAGCGGUGAAAUGCAUAGAUAUUAGGAGGAACACCAGUUGCGAAGGCAGCUCUCUGG
Molecule: ribosomal RNA, 376 nt
Filed under: uncultured bacterium
Lineage: Bacteria
Description: partial 16S ribosomal RNA
Rfam family: Bacterial small subunit ribosomal RNA
Source: RNAcentral